This is an RNA transcript of Ictalurus punctatus (channel catfish), 2634 nucleotides long. It is a transcript of the gene named solute carrier family 35 member D2, with no coding region annotated. The record is from RefSeq and is a predicted model, not a curated record. The transcript is spliced from 13 exons. NCBI's taxonomy places the organism in Eukaryota, Metazoa, Chordata, Actinopteri, Siluriformes, Ictaluridae.
CGCGAUAUUUUAUAUUUACCAGAAAUGUACAACUGUCGCCUGUCUGCAUUUUUAGCAGGGUACAGCUUGUGUGACAAGUUCGGAUAUCAGUCAGACCAAUGAAGGCAAAAUGUCAAGAAGAAGCUCUUCUUUUACUUCGCCUACUUCUUCUUCGCUGUGUAAUCCUGUUCCAAGUCACGGGCAGUUCAUGAAGCUCUUCUCCGCUGCUUUGUACGCAGUCAGUUCUUUUCUUAUAGUGGUUGUCAACAAGACAGUUUUAACAGCCUAUAGGUUUCCCUCAUACACCUUCCUUGGAAUUGGACAGAUGGCAUGCACAAUUGUCAUUCUUUAUUUGGCCAAAAUGUGCAAAGCAGUCUCUUUUCAGGACUUUGAUAGGAGCUUAUACAGAAAGAUUUUUCCUUUGCCAUUACUCUAUGCCGGCAAUCACAUAACAGGUCUGGGAAGCACAAAGAAGUUAAGCUUACCCAUGUUUACUGUGCUCCGAAAAUUCACUAUUCUACUGACAAUGAUCAUGGAAGCGAAAAUAUUGAGAAAAUCCUUUUCACCUCAGCUGGCUUGCAGUGUGAUCGCCAUUGUGUUUGGCGCAUUGAUUGCUGCAAGUUCUGACCUGGCUUUUGAUACAGAGGGAUAUGCUUUUGUUCUGCUCAACGAUGUCUUCACAGCUGCCAAUGGCGUGUAUACAAAGCAGAAAAUGGGAGUAGAGGGCCUGGGCAAGUUCGGCGUUUUGUUCUACAAUGCAUUUAUCAUCAUAAUUCCUACUAUUUUAGCAAGUGCCUACACUGGAGAUUUAGAGAAGGCCAUUGCUUUUAAAGGAUGGGUAUCACUGGGGUUCAUCGUUUAUUUUCUUGUGUCUUGUAUUAUGGGAUUCAUUUUGAUGUACUCUAUAGUUCUAUGCAGUCAUCACAACAGUGCCUUAACCACUACAGUUAUUGGUGCCAUUAAGAAUGUUGCCGUAGCCUACAUUGGUAUGUUCGUUGGAGGAGACUAUGAAUUUUCCUGGCCAAACUUUGUAGGGCUGAAUAUAUGUAUUUCUGGUGGCCUGGUCUAUUCAUACUUGACGUUUCAUAGCAGCAGUACCUCCUCACCACACAUAGCAAACCAAGAGGAGGAAGAACUGAGCCAUGUCAUCGAGGAGCCCCAUAAUAACUCUGAGAAAAGACAAUUCUAAUGUACAGUAUACCUAAAGUCUACAUUUGCAGUAUAUUUUUAUACCUGUAUUUUAUUAAAGCUGCAAAUUGUGACUUUAGAUUUUUACGUGACACAAUAUUUGGACUCAACUUUGUAGAACAUUGCAUUUGAGACAGUGACUGAGGUUAAUAAUGUGCUAAAUGUCAUCUUUGAGGGCAUGUGUGCUUAUUUGUUCAGUCGUGCAAUAAAAACAGCCCUUUUAAAAAAAACAAGGUUUGUGGCAUGGUAUGCAUGCAGUGGGCAUCAGUCUGGUUGGCAAACACCAGCUUAGUCAGUGAGAGUACAUUUGCUGUUCUCUGUCCACUUUUGGCUUCUGGCUAAAUUUCCUCGUUAGAUAUUUUAUGCAUACCAGUGCCUUGUGCAGUGCAUUGUACCUCCAUAAUAUUUCAUGUGUGUGAGAUCUGCUGUCAAAGACUUUUAAAGCACGUUCAGUCAUAUACAGUAUGUAAGACAUGUAAUGGUCGUUAAGGCCUUUAAUCCAUAAAAUUCAGGCUUCAAGUCUUCAUUCACAAAAAUAUUUGGACUUUAAAGGCAUAUGGACGGAAAAGUGGGUGUGCAUCGCUUACCUGGGGAAAAGAUGUCACCAGGAUGCACUAUGGGAAGAAGGCAAGCCGGGGGAGGAAGUGUGAUGCUCUGGGCAAUGUUCUGCUGGGAAACCUUGGGUCCUGGUAUUCAUGUGGAUGUUACUUUGGCUCAUAUCACCUACCAAAACAUUGUUGCAGACCAAGUACACCCCUUUAUGGCAACGGUAUUCCCUAAUGGCGGUGGCCUCUUUCAGCAGGAUAAUGCACCAUGCCACAGUGCAGAAAUUGGUCAGGAAUGGUUUGAGGAACAUGUUUUAAAUUCCCCAGAUCUCAAUCAGAUCCAAUCGAGCAUCUGUGGGAUGUGCUGGGCAAACAAGUCCGAUCCAUGGAGGCCCCACCUCACAACCUUCAGGACUUAAAGGACCUGCCGUUAAGGUCUUGGUGCUAGAUACCACAGCACACCUUCAGAGGUGUUUCAGUGGCAGAAGGGGGACCUAAACCAAUAUUAGGCAGGUGGGUUUUUUUUUUAAUUAUUAUUUUUUUUUUUUUAGGGCUGAUCAGUGUAUAUCCCUAACUACACUUUAAUUAUAACUAAAUGCUACAAAAAGUCUUAUUUUCUGCCUGAUCAGAACUGUGUGGAUGUGUCAGACCACAUACACAGGGGCAUCUCCCCAGCAAUAUAAACACUUCUUGGAAUGCUAGAAAAGCAUGUAGAAAGCAAGUCUUUGUGUGGUCUAUUCAUGUAUUUGGUACAAAUUUGCAAUGGCACCGCAUUUGUGUAAAUCAGGUUUGUGUGCACUCUGCUGCUACUUCCUCCUUCCAGCUAGUUUAAGCACAUACAGAGAAAAGGCAGUGCAGUGUGCAGAAGCACUCGCAUAUCACAUCUGGUUUAAUCAAAUAGAUUAAAAUGAGCUUUACUGUC